GCUGGGUGUGGUGGUGCACACCUGUAAUCCCGGCUACUCAGGAAGCUGAGACAAGAGGAUUGUGAGUUCAAAGCCAGCCUCAG
Molecule: small RNA, 83 nt
Filed under: Marmota monax (woodchuck)
Lineage: Eukaryota; Metazoa; Chordata; Mammalia; Rodentia; Sciuridae
Source: RNAcentral